UACGGGGGGUGCAAGCGUUAUUCGGAAUUAUUGGGCGUAAAGGGCGCGUAGGCGGUCUCUAAAGUCAGAUGUGAAAGCCCGGGGCUUAACCCCGGAAGUGCAUUUGAAACUUAGUGACUUGAGUAUGGGAGAGGGAAGUGGAAUUCCUGGUGUAGCGGUGAAAUGCGUAGAUAUCAGGAGGAACACCAGUGGCGAAGGCGACUUCCUGGACCAAUACUGACGCUGAGGCGCGAAGGCGUGGGGAGCAAACAGGAUUAGAUACCCUGGUAGUCCACGCAGUAAACGGUGAACACUAGGUGUAGCGGGUAUUGACCCCUGCUGUGCCGCAGCUAACGCAUUAAGUGUUCCGCCUGGGGAGUACGAUCGCAAGAUUAAA
RNAcentral lists this ribosomal RNA (376 nucleotides) under uncultured bacterium. Its description in RNAcentral is "bacterial SSU rRNA". It matches the Rfam family "Bacterial small subunit ribosomal RNA", at positions 524 to 898 of the family's 1533-position model. The record is from RNAcentral.